GUGCUCACUUCGGCAGCACAUAUACUAAAAUUGGAACAGUAACAAAGAAGAAUAGCAUGGCCCUUUUACAAGGAUGACAUGCAAAUUCGUGAAGUGUUCCAUAUUUUU
This is a small nuclear RNA of Dromiciops gliroides (monito del monte), 108 nucleotides long. Lineage: Eukaryota; Metazoa; Chordata; Mammalia; Microbiotheria; Microbiotheriidae. The record is from RefSeq and is a predicted model, not a curated record.